RNAcentral lists this ribosomal RNA (502 nucleotides) under uncultured bacterium. RNAcentral's name for it is "bacterial SSU rRNA". It matches the Rfam family "Bacterial small subunit ribosomal RNA", at positions 30 to 531 of the family's 1533-position model. The record is from RNAcentral.
AUUGAACGCUGGCGGCAUGCCUUACACAUGCAAGUCGAACGGUAACAGGUUAAGCUGACGAGUGGCGAACGGGUGAGUAAUAUAUCGGAACGUGCCCAAUCGUGGGGGAUAACGCAGCGAAAGUUGUGCUAAUACCGCAUAAGAUCUACGGAUGAAAGCGGGGGAUCGCAAGACCUCGCGCGAGUGGAGCGGCCGAUAUCAGAUUAGCUAGUUGGUGGGGUAAAGGCCCACCAAGGCGACGAUCUGUAGCUGGUCUGAGAGGACGACCAGCCACACUGGAACUGAGACAACGGUCCAGACUCCUACGGGAGGCAGCAGUGGGGAAUUUUGGACAAUGGCGCAAGCCUGAUCCAGCAAUGCCGCGUGCAGGAUGAAGGCCUUCGGGUUGUAAACUGACUUUUGUACGGAGCGAACGGUACUGCCCUAAUACGUAGGCUAAUGACGGUACCGUAAGAAUAAGCACCGGCUAACUACGUGCCAGCCGCCGCGGUAAACCAGAACG